This is a long non-coding RNA of Mustela erminea (ermine), 320 nucleotides long. RefSeq lists it as uncharacterized. Lineage: Eukaryota; Metazoa; Chordata; Mammalia; Carnivora; Mustelidae. The record is from RefSeq and is a predicted model, not a curated record. The transcript has 2 exons.
AGAAGAGAUGAUUUAAGUAACUUUGGAAAUGUGUGGAGUCUAUAAAAUUAAAGGCAAAAGAGAUGGAAUAUAAGCAUUACACUUCAGCUGGUAAAGUUUUUUUCAUUUUGUUUUGUUUUGUUUUUUUCUCAUGGGAGGUUAACAAUUUUGAUACUCUAUGCAAGUACACUAGAAUACAGUGAUCAGGAAAAUGAAUGGAAGAAGCCCAGAGCCAUAUUCUCACCUCUGGAGUGGAAUUUACACAAGAAAGAUGAUGCAAACCAAAUUGUGAGGAAUUACAUUACAUUCAUACAAAGUCAAGUGGAAGCUCAGAAGAGAGA